Molecule: ribosomal RNA, 253 nt
Filed under: uncultured bacterium
Lineage: Bacteria
Description: partial 16S ribosomal RNA
Rfam family: Bacterial small subunit ribosomal RNA
Source: RNAcentral
UACAGAGGGUGCGAGCGUUAAUCGGAGUUACUGGGCGUAAAGGGCGCGUAGGCGGUUGUGUGAGUGUGAUGUGAAAGCCCUGGGCUUAACCUAGGAAGUGCAUCGCAAACGACAUAACUGGAGUAUAAGAGAGGGUGGCGGAAUUUCCGGUGUAGCGGUGAAAUGCGUAGAGAUCGGAAGGAACGUCAAUGGCGAAAGCACUCUGCUGGGCCGACACUGACACUGAGAGACGAAAGCUAGGGGAGCGAAUGGG